GAUGAAGAACGUAGCGAAAUGCGAUACUUGGUGUGAAUUGCAGAAUCCCGUGAACCAUCGAGUCUUUGAACGCAAGUUGCGCCUCAAACCAUUAGGUUGAGGGCACGUCUGCCUGGGCGUCACAUAUCGUUGCCUGAUGCCAGUUUCCUCGUGAUGGGUGACUGUGCAGGGCGAAUGAUGGCUUCCCGUGAGCAUUGUUGCCUCAUGGUUGGUUGAAAAUUGAGUCCUUGGUAGGGAGCGCCGUGAUAGAUGGUGGUUGAGUGACGAACGAGACCCAAUCAUGUGAGACCCCUACCGAAUUUGGCCUUCAUGACCCACAUGCGUCUUUGGAACGCUCAUGACGAGACCUCAGGUCAGGCGGGGCUACCCGCUGAGUUUAAGCAUAUCAAUAAGCGGAGGA
Molecule: unclassified non-coding RNA, 400 nt
Filed under: soil metagenome
Description: partial contains 5.8S ribosomal RNA, internal transcribed spacer 2, and large subunit ribosomal RNA
Rfam family: 5.8S ribosomal RNA (bases 1-122)
Source: RNAcentral